This is a non-coding RNA of Podarcis lilfordi (Lilford's wall lizard), 6555 nucleotides long. Lineage: Eukaryota; Metazoa; Chordata; Lepidosauria; Squamata; Lacertidae. The record is from the annotation of a GenBank genome assembly.
UGUCAGGGGUUCAGGAGCAGAGGCACAGGAAAGGGAGGAAAUAGAGAGCGAGGGGGAGGAGUCCGAAGGAAAUGUUAGCGAUGACAGCGGUCCGAGGUCUCUGAGUCUUUCCAGCGAAUCGGAAGAUUCACAGAAAGGGGCUCCCUUGGUCAGAGCAAGGGGGUGCCGAGGGGGACACCCCAGGAAGAAGGGGCCAGAGGGGACUCAGAGAGCAGCAGUUGGAAAUCAGGACCAGCGUCCACACCAGAGUGCAGUAGGGGGGAGGAGUCCCAGGCAUCGGGAUCAGGCGGCGCACUGCCAGUGGGAGGACAUGAGUCAGGAUUGGCCACGCCUCCAUCGGGGAGCGAGGAAACGGUCGAGAGGAAGGUUGAAGGCGCGCGCGCCCAGUUCAAAUGUACAGGAGGGAGGCGCAGUUGGCAGCCCGGAUAGGGAGCCAGGUCCCAAAGCCCGCCGAAAAGAGGGGGAGGAGUCAGGGGGGUCAGCGUCAGAAGAAUCCAGGAAGGAAGGGACCCCGGGGGGUAGCAGGACCCAGAGGAGAAAGGAGAGACGUAAGAGGUGGAGUAAGGCUAGAAUCUUAAACUGGUGUACAGGGGCGGAGACUCAGAUGGAGCUUCGCCGAUCUAACCCCUAGACGUAGAGCUGGGGCGCUCCGGCUUGAAAAUGGAAACUGUACUUCAAUAAAGACUUUUGUACAUUACUGCCGGCUAGCGUUGGUCCUCUGUGAGCUGGGACCUGGAGCCAGCUCUGACAGUAAGCUCCAUCUCCAAAAGUUUUGCACCAAAAACCUCGUAACGUGAGUGGACGCAGCGAGGGAAGAAGAUUGGUGCUUCGCGAGCUCACAAAAGUCAGGCAAGAUGACUACAGAACAGCAACUAGCAGCCCUGCAAAAUGCAGUGACACAACUCAACGCGGAGGUACUCGCAUCCAGGAAAAGGGAAGAGGAAGCGGCUGCCGCCUGCAGGGAUCUCCAAGCCAGGUUGGAAGUGCUUGCUAAGCAGGGGCAACCGGGACCCAAAUCAGAGGGGAUUGGGCUGGGGAAAAGAGGAGGCAGCCUGGUAUCUCAUUUCGAUGGGAAUUUGCAGCAGUACCCUAACUUCCGAGCAGACGUGCUGUUUGCGCUGGAACUGCUGGAUAAAGACUUUAGAGAUGAGCAAGAGAAGGUGGGGUUUAUCUUGUCCCAUUUGCAUGGGGAAGCUAAAGCGUGGCUGCGCAAUCUGUGGAGAGAUAAGGAUCCGGCGCUCCAAAAUGCGGAUGCAUUCAUUAAAGCGAUGGAUUCGUGUUUUUAUCAAAUAUAGACAUUGAUAUCGCCAGAAAAGACAUACAUGGGCUCAAACAAGGCAGAGCCAGUGUAAGGCAGUACCAUUCCCGCUUUUUGCAUUAGUCCAUGCGCUGGGAUGGGAGAAGGAUUCUGCCCCAGCCAGAGACCUUUUUGGGAAGGCUUGAAUGCAAAUGUGAAAGAUGAGAUUGCAAGGGGGGAGAGACCAAAGAGCACUCAGGAGGUUGUCCGGCGGGCGCUGCAAAUUGGGGUGCGUCUGGAAGAACGUCCAUGGAACAGAGAAGAAGGACGUUGGGGACGUACGCCAGUGAGAGCACCUCCCCUCUUUCCCAAGGAUGCAGCGCGUGUGCAAUCCCCACCUCCGCAAGGAGGGGGAGAGCAACCGAUGGAGAUUGGAGGCGCCAGGGCUCAGUCAGCAACCAGAGCCUUAACACCGGGAGCAGUCAAAGCGAAGCCUCCUAGAGGGAACAGGAAGUGCUACAUCUGCGACAGUGCUCAGCACAUGGCGAAAGAGUGUCCCCAGAGGCUCCACAAGCACACUGCAGCCUCAGCAACAGUAACAGAAGCAACUCAGCAGAGAGAACCACAGCAGGGAAACGACAGAGUCUGGUUGGAGGAAGAGGCACUGGGGCCCAACCAGACAAGUCAAUGAAGCCGUCCCCAGAGAUUUUGCAGCCCACAGACCCCCUCCCGCCCAAACCAGUGGUGCAGCUCACAGCAUCGCUCCAACUACCCAAUGGACUCACUAUGGAAGUGCCGAUUACCAUUGACUCUGGUAGUAACGCAGACUUCAUAGGACUGGAUUUCCUUCAAGAGCACAACAUAGCACUCCUGCCAGCCACGCUGCCUCUGAAAGUUGUCACGGUGGAUGGCAGGGAAUUGCUGGGGGGGCAGGUGGUGCAGCAAACGCCUCCGAUGGUGAUGCAAAUUGGAAAUCACCGAGAAGUCAUCAGCUUCAAUGUCACCCAACUGUCGGACACGCCUAUAGUAUUAGGCAUGAGUUGGCUGCACAGGCACAGCCCAGCAUUGGCGUGGUACCAGCGACAACUGACCUUCGGCUCCUCAUACUGUGCGGAACAUUGCAUUCUGCCUAGCCCGGAAGGGGAAGAGGAUGACCCGCAGCUACAAUUAGGCACGCUGCAAGCAGUGCCACUCAAGUACGCAGCGUUUUUGGAGGUUUUCUGCGAGAAGGAAGCGGACAAGCUACCUCCCCACAGGUCUUAUGACUGCAAGAUUGACCUCCUGCCAGGGCGACGCUGCCAACCGGGAAACUGUAUUCCAUGUCUGAAGACGAGCUGCAGGAACUCAGGGAGUUCAUAGACCUCAACUUGAAGCGCGGUUUCAUCCAGGAGUCGAAGGCAGUGGGGGGCAGUCCUGUAUUCUUUGUGAAGAAGAAGGACACGCCCCAAAAAAGGCUUGUGGUGGACUAUAGAAUUUUGAACUCGAAAACCAAGCCCACAGCCUUUCCCAUGCCCAAGAUAGAUGACCUGCUCGCAACGGUGAGGAAAGGACGCGUUUUCACAAAGUUGGAUCUGCGAGGGGCGUACAACCUGAUUCGCAUACGGGAGGGCGACGAAUGGAAGACUGCCAUGUUCACGCCCCUGGGCACCUAUGAAUACAGAGUUAUGCCCUUUGGAUUACAAAAUGGCUCCCACUGUUUUCAAGCCUUCAUGCAUCACGUAUUGGCGGGUCUCCUCUACAAGAAAUGCGUCUGCUUCCUGGACGACAUCCUGAUAUUUUCAGAAUCAGAGGAGACCCACGAGGGAGACGUCAAGGAAGUUCUGCAGAGACUGCAGGAGCACAGGCUGUACGCCAAGCUGGAGAAGUGCCAGUUCGACAUGAAGGAGGUAGAUUUCCUGGGCUACAAGUUGUCGGACAAGGGGCUCGCCAUGGACAGCGCCAAGGUUCGCUCAGUGUUGGACUGGAAGAGCCCGCGCAAUCGGAAGGAGGUCCAGCGGUUUGUCGGUUUCGCCAACUUUUACCGCAAGUUCAUCAAGGGGUUCGCGAUGCAGACGGCGGCCAUUACCGACACGCUCAGCUCCAAGAAGAAGAAGUUCAUCUGGACGGAGCAAGCGGAGCAGUCCUUUCAGAAACUCAAGCGUCUCUUCUCGUCCGAAGAGCAGCUACUGCAUGUGAAUCCCAGCAGACCGAUGAGGGUUGAAACGGACGCCUCAGACAGAGCCGUGGGAGCAGUACUGUUGCAGCAAGACCCGCAUGGGGACUGGAGACCGUGUGCCUUCUACUCCAGGAAGCUCAGCAAGUCAGAGCAGAACUACACCAUCUGGGACAGGGAGUUGCUGGCCAUUCAUGCAGCAUUCAAGGCGUGGCGGCACUUCCUCAUUGGAGCCAAACACACAGUGCAGGUCCGCACGGACCAUAAAAACCUGGAGUACUGGCGCACGGCAAGGUUCCUGAACCAGAGGCACAUACGAUGGGCGGAGUUCUUUGCGGAUUUCGACUUCAGGAUAGAGUACAUCCCAGGCGACAACAACAUCAUGGCGGAUGCACUGUCCAGAAAGCCGCAAUACCUCGAGGAGGCGGCACCAGCAGCGGCCAAGCACAUUUUCGCACCGAAAGCGUGGGCGUGCGCUUCAGCAACCGUGGACCUGGAUGCUGUACGUCGAGCACUGCAGGAGGACCCCUUCGCGCAAGCAAAGAUGGCAGAGGUGCAAAGGGGCACGGCGGAGGACGACGAGUUCCAGAUACGCGACGGAUUGCUCAUCCGCAGAGGGGCCCUCUACGUACCGGGAGACGACCUCCGCGCGAAAGUACUGCAGCAGUUGCACGACGCACCCACCGCCGGGCACUUUGGCAAAGAGAAGACGGUAGAAUUAGUAGCCAGAGAUUUUUGGUGGCCCAAGAUGCGGGGGAAGUCGCGGAUUACGUCUCGAGGUGCGACACCUGCCAAAGGGCCAAGUCAGUGCACAAACCGCCGGCGGGACUGCUCGAACCGCUGCAGACACCGCUCGAACCGUGGGAGAGGGUGGCCCUGGACUUUGUCACGGAUCUACCCAGCUCGAGGGGCAAGACGGCAGUGCUAGUGGUGGUGGACAUGUUCACCAAAAUGGCCCACUUCAUUCCGUGCGCGAAGGUGGCCACGGCGGAACAGACCGCCAAACUGUUCAUAGACCACGUGUUCAGGGUUCACGGUCUGCCACGGUCUAUCCUGUCCGACCGGGGGCGACAGUUCAUCUCGAACUUCUGGCAGAAGCUGAUGGGUUUCCUGAACGUCAAGAUCAACCUAGCGUCGGCGAGACACCCGCAGACGAACGGACAAGCGGAGCGAGUCAACGCCAUCAUGCAGCAGUACCUGCGAUGCUACGCAAAUCAGCAGCCGGCAACAUGGGUGGACUACCUGCCGCUCGCUGAGUUCGCCUACAACAACACGAAGCACGUGUCCACGGGGGUGACACCGUUCUUCGCCAACAACGGGAGGCAUCCCAGAACCUUCCCGGGAUUAGCGAGAGCGGGGGAGGGGAGCCACAGGCAGCGGAAGCCUUAGCAUCAGAGUUGCAGGAGGUUCACGAACAGCUUCGGAGGCAGUUAGAACUAGCAAAGCACGCAUACAAACUGCAGGCUGACAAGCACAGAAGGGUUGGGGAAGACAUACAGGUGGGAGACUGGGUUUGGUUAGCAGCCCAGGCAGUGCCGGCCAGAUCGUUAGCGAAGAAGAAGCUAGGGCAUAAGCAGCUAGGACCCUACCAAGUCGAGGCACAGGUCAAUCCAGUGGCCUUCCGGUUGACACUGCCGGAGGGAUCCAGAAUGCACCCAGUUUUCCAUAGAUCAGUGCUCACGCCCUACAAAGCACCUCAUAGAUUUCAGGAGCCAGGAACGGCACCAGACCCGUUCAGGGAAACGCCCACAAGGGGGGGGUCGCCAAGGCGGGAACCCGUCAACGAAGUCACAGAGAUUUUAGACUCGAGAUGGGGGGAAGAGGGAGUAGAAUAUCUUCUCGCCAGAGAAGGUACCCCGGCCAGCGCCAACAGUUGGGUGCCAGACCAUGCCUUGGACGAACCUUUUCUCAAGGACGAGUUUCAUGCCCUUUUCCCACACAGGCCCAUGCCAGCCGAGUAUUUCGACGACUGGCUUUUCACACCCACAUUUUCAGCUAGCACAUUCCAGGGGUUCACCUCGGACGAGGAACCGGCACUAGAAACACGUUCCCCGGAGGGAUCACCCCGGGGUCUGCCUCAGACCGUUCCUAUUGGUGGGACAAUCAACCAGAGGAGCAGUGGCGCAGGAAGUGGUUGGGGGGUCCUUGGCAGGCAACGUCCCCGGAGGAGACCGGGGAGAGACGGACAUGGACGUGUUGGGGGAGGACCUUGGGGUCGAGCACGGCGGCAAAGAGAUGGAAGCAGAGGAAAUUGAGGUCGGCGAGAGCACGGAGGACGAGCCGGACUUAUCCGGCUGGAUGCACGCCACGGGGGACGAACUGUAUCCGGCACUCACCCCCACAACGACGGAGCACCCAGUACCCACACCUGAAGGAGGGGAGGGGGAAGGGGGGCUUCGAGGGGGAUGGAUGUCAGGGGUUCAGGAGCAGAGGCACAGGAAAGGGAGGAAAUAGAGAGCGAGGGGGAGGAGUCCGAAGGAAAUGUUAGCGAUGACAGCGGUCCGAGGUCUCUGAGUCUUUCCAGCGAAUCGGAAGAUUCACAGAAAGGGGCUCCCUUGGUCAGAGCAAGGGGGUGCCGAGGGGGACACCCCAGGAAGAAGGGGCCAGAGGGGACUCAGAGAGCAGCAGUUGGAAAUCAGGACCAGCGUCCACACCAGAGUGCAGUAGGGGGGAGGAGUCCCAGGCAUCGGGAUCAGGCGGCGCACUGCCAGUGGGAGGACAUGAGUCAGGAUUGGCCACGCCUCCAUCGGGGAGCGAGGAAACGGUCGAGAGGAAGGUUGAAGGCUGGGCGCGCGCGCCAAGUUCAAAUGUACAGGAGGGAGGCGCAGUUGGCAGCCCGGAUAGGGAGCCAGGUCCCAAAGCCCGCCGAAAAGAGGGGGAGGAGUCAGGGGGGUCAGCGUCAGAAGAAUCCAGGAAGGAAGGGACCCCGGGGGGUAGCAGGACCCAGAGGAGAAAGGAGAGACGUAAGAGGUGGAGUAAGGCUAGAAUCUUAAACUGGUGUACAGGGGGCGGAGACUCAGAUGGAGCUUCGCCGAUCUAACCCCUAGACGUAGAGCUGGGGCGCUCCGGCUUGAAAAUGGAAACUGUACUUCAAUAAAGACUUUUGUACAUUACUGCCGGCUAGCGUUGGUCCUCUGUGAGCUGGGACCUGGAGCCAGCUCUGACA